AGCAUCUGAGAUGAAGUAGG
This 20-nucleotide ribosomal RNA is filed under the name Tintinnopsis tubulosoides. RNAcentral describes it as "partial large subunit ribosomal RNA". Lineage: Eukaryota; Ciliophora; Spirotrichea; Tintinnida; Codonellidae. The record is from RNAcentral.